Molecule: long non-coding RNA, 223 nt
Filed under: Carica papaya (papaya)
Lineage: Eukaryota; Viridiplantae; Streptophyta; Magnoliopsida; Brassicales; Caricaceae
Description: long non-coding RNA (CPAP_LNC014639)
Source: RNAcentral
AGAAAUCCCUUCUACGAACCCAAGAGGUAAGAGAGAAAAAUCCAAGUUGAAAAUCACAUAGUAACCUUCUGGCUCGAUACAAUUAACCUAGCCUUAAUUCUUCCUUACAUAUGCCUCAAGGAUUUGUGCCAUGUGCCACUAGUACUCAUGGAUGCAAGACAUGUAGCCCAGUUAUUUCUUAGUUAAAUCAUAACUGGAUGCGUGCACUCUUCUUUAUCCCGAU